Molecule: ribosomal RNA, 498 nt
Filed under: Aphanamixis polystachya
Lineage: Eukaryota; Viridiplantae; Streptophyta; Magnoliopsida; Sapindales; Meliaceae
Also listed under: 1 other name
Description: eukaryotic LSU rRNA
Rfam family: 5.8S ribosomal RNA (bases 5-160)
Source: RNAcentral
GAACGACUCUCGGCAACGGAUAUCUCGGCUCUCGCAUCGAUGAAGAACGUAGCGAAAUGCGAUACUUGGUGUGAAUUGCAGAAUCCCGUGAACCAUCGAGUCUUUGAACGCAAGUUGCGCCCCAAGCCUUUAGGCCGAGGGCACGUCUGCCUGGGUGUCACGCAUCGCCGCCCCCAAACCCCCCUCCAGGGGAUCGUUGGGCGGGCGGAAACUGGCCUCCCGUGCGCUCCCCGCUCGCGGUUGGCCCAAAUUCGAGCCCUUCGGUGACCGUGCCGCGACGAUCGGUGGUGAGAAGAGACUAUCGAGAUCCCGUCGCGUGCUUGCGUCCUCGUUUUAAGGGCUCGCGGACCCUUUGAGCGCCUCCCGGUUCCGGGCGCCGCUCACUCUGCGACCCCAGGUCAGGCGGGAAUACCCGCUGAGUUUAAGCAUAUCAAUAAGCGGAGGAAAAGAAACUUACCAGGAUUCCCCUAGUAACGGCGAGCGAACCGGGAAGAGCCC